AUUGAACGCUGGCGGCAUGCCUUACACAUGCAAGUCGAACGGCAGCACGGGAGCAAUCCUGGUGGCGAGUGGCGAACGGGUGAGUAAAGUAUCGGAACGUGCCCAGUCGUGGGGGAUAACGUAGCGAAAGUUACGCUAAUACCGCAUACGAUCCAUGGAUGAAAGCGGGGGAUCGCAAGACCGCGCGCGAUUGGAGCGGCCGAUAUCAGAUUAGGUAGUUGGUGGGGUAAAGGCUCACCAAGCCGACGAUCUGUAGCUGGUCUGAGAGGAUGACCAGCCACACUGGGACUGAGACACGGCCCAGACUCCUACGGGAGGCAGCAGUGGGGAAUUUUGGACAAUGGGCGAAAGCCUGAUCCAGCCAUGCCGCGUGCAGGAUGAAGGCCUUCGGGUUGUAAACUGCUUUUGUACGGAACGAAAAGGUUUGUCCUAAUAAGCUGAGCUCAUGACGGUACCGUAAGAAUAAGCACCGGCUAACUACGUGCCAGCCGCCGCAGUAA
This 500-nucleotide ribosomal RNA is filed under the name uncultured bacterium. Its description in RNAcentral is "partial 16S ribosomal RNA". It matches the Rfam family "Bacterial small subunit ribosomal RNA", at positions 30 to 523 of the family's 1533-position model. The record is from RNAcentral.